Molecule: ribosomal RNA, 1197 nt
Filed under: uncultured organism
Description: bacterial SSU rRNA
Rfam family: Bacterial small subunit ribosomal RNA
Source: RNAcentral
GAGUAAAGAUUUCGGUCGCUUUGGGAGGAGCUCGCUUACUAUCAGCUUGUUGGUAGGGUAAUGGCCUACCAAGGCUAUGACGGUUAGGGGGUGUGAGAGCAUGACCCCCAGCAUUGGCACUGAAACACUGGCCAAACACCUACGGGUGGCUGCAGUCGAGAAUCUUCCACAAUGGGGGAAACCCUGAUGGAGCGAUGCUGCGUGCGGGAUGAAGGCCUUCGGGUUGUAAACCGCUUUUGUAGGGGACGAAAUUUUUGACGGUACCCUUUCGAAUAAGAGGUUGCUAACUCUGUGUCAGCAGCAGCGGUAAUACAGAGACCUCAAGCGUUAUCCGGAUUUACUGGGCGUAAAGCGUCUGUAGGGGGUUUAUUAAGUUCCAAGUAAAAUUUCAAGGCUCAACUUUGAAUUCGCUUGGAAAACUAAUAAACUGGAGUCUAGCAGAGGUGCAUGGAACUUGUGGUGUAGGAGUGAAAUCCGUUGAUAUCACAAGGAACACCAAAGGCGAAGGCAUUGCACUGGGCUAGCACUGACCCUGAGAGACGAAAGCGUGGGGAGCAAAACGGAUUAGAUACCCGUGUAGUCCACGCCCUAAACGAUGAAUGCUAAAUGUUCGGGGAUUCGACCCCCUGGGUGUUACAGCUAACGCGUUAAGCAUUCCGCCUGGGAAGUACGGCCGCAAGGCUAAAACUCAAAGGAAUAGACGGGGAUCCGCACAAGCGGUGGAGCGUCUGGUUUAAUUCGACAGUAAGCGUGGUACCUCACCAGGGUUUGACAUCCCUUGACAGCCUUGGAAACAAGGUUUCCUUCGGGCAAGGUGACAGGUGCUGCAUGGUCGUCGUCAGUUCGUGCCGUGAGGUGUUCCGUUAAGUCGGGAAACGAACGAAACCCCUAUUGCAUGUUACAAUUUCUCAUGCAAGACUGCCCGGAUAUACUGGGAGGAAGGUGGGGAUGACGUCAGAUCUGCAUGGUCCUUAUACCCUGGGCGACACAGGCGCUACAAUGGCAGAGACAAAGGGUUGCAAAACCGCAAGGUGAAGCUAAUCCCAAAAACUUUGUCUAAGUUCGGAUUGAAGGCUGCAAUUCGCCUUCAUGAAGCUGGAAUCGCUAGUAAUCGUGAAUCAGCCACGUCACGGUGAAUAUGUUCCCGGAUCUUGUACUCACCGCCCGUCACACCAAGAGAGUUGGUAGCUCCCGAAG